This 57-nucleotide transfer RNA is filed under the name Dipodomys ordii (Ord's kangaroo rat). It matches the Rfam family "tRNA", at positions 8 to 63 of the family's 71-position model. From Rfam's summary of the family: Transfer RNA (tRNA) molecules are approximately 80 nucleotides in length. Their secondary structure includes four short double-helical elements and three loops (D, anti-codon, and T loops). Further hydrogen bonds mediate the characteristic L-shaped molecular structure. tRNAs have two regions of fundamental functional importance: the anti-codon, which is responsible for specific mRNA codon recognition, and the 3' end, to which the tRNAs corresponding amino acid is attached (by aminoacyl-tRNA synthetases). tRNAs cope with the degeneracy of the genetic code in two manners: having more than one tRNA (with a specific anti-codon) for a particular amino acid; and 'wobble' base-pairing, i.e. permitting non-standard base-pairing at the 3rd anti-codon position. Lineage: Eukaryota; Metazoa; Chordata; Mammalia; Rodentia; Heteromyidae. The record is from Rfam by way of RNAcentral.
UGGCUCAGUGGUAGAGUGCUUGCCUCACAUGCAUGAGGCCCUGGGUUCAAUGCCCUG